This 73-nucleotide transfer RNA is filed under the name Geomydoecus aurei. Its description in RNAcentral is "tRNA-Gln". The record is from RNAcentral. Lineage: Eukaryota; Metazoa; Arthropoda; Insecta; Psocodea; Trichodectidae.
UUUUGGGUAGUAUAAGUAAAAUACGCUGUUUUUUGAAAACAGAAAGGAAAAUUAGAUUUUUCCCUAAAAUCCA